Molecule: ribosomal RNA, 468 nt
Filed under: uncultured bacterium
Lineage: Bacteria
Description: partial 16S ribosomal RNA
Rfam family: Bacterial small subunit ribosomal RNA
Source: RNAcentral
GACGAACGCUGGCGGCGUGCUUAACACAUGCAAGUCGAACGGAAAGGCCCUGCUUUUGUGGGGUGCUCGAGUGGCGAACGGGUGAGUAACACGUGAGUAACCUGCCCUUGACUUUGGGAUAACUUCAGGAAACUGGGGCUAAUGCCGGAUAGGAGCUCCUGCUGCAUGGUGGGGGUUGGAAAGUUUCGGCGGUUGGGGAUGGACUCGCGGCUUAUCAGCUUGUUGGUGGGGUAGUGGCUUACCAAGGCUUUGACGGGUAGCCGGCCUGAGAGGGUGACCGGCCACAUUGGGCCUGAGAUACGGCCCAGACUCCUACGGGAGGCAGCAGUGGGGAAUAUUGCACAAUGGGCGGAAGCCUGAUGCAGCAACGCCGCGUGCGGGAUGACGGCCUUCGGGUUGUAAACCGCUUUCGCCUGUGACGAAGCGUGAGUGACGGUAAUGGGUAAAGAAGCACCGGCUAACUACGUG